Molecule: ribosomal RNA, 753 nt
Filed under: Kudoa whippsi
Lineage: Eukaryota; Metazoa; Cnidaria; Myxozoa; Multivalvulida; Kudoidae
Description: eukaryotic LSU rRNA
Rfam family: Eukaryotic large subunit ribosomal RNA
Source: RNAcentral
ACUUAAGCAUAUCAGUAAGCAGAGGAAAAGAAAACAACUGUGAUUCCCUUAGUAACUGCGAGUGAAGCGGGAUAAGCCCAUCGUUUAAUCUUCCCGGACUAUGGACGGGACGACGUGUAACGGUAUGGAUAGGUUCUCUAUCGACAAUGUCUGGUCAAAGUCCUCCGGAUUGAGGUGCCAGAGAAGGUGACAGCCCUGUGUGGGACUGGACAGCGUCGAGUAGGUGGCCGAUUCCGAGAGUCGGGUUGUUUGGGACUGCAACCUAAAGCAGGUGGUAAACUCCACCCAAGGCUAAAUAUUGACACGAAACCGAUAGCGAACAAGUACUGUGAAGGAAAGUUGAAAAGAACUCUGAAAAGAGAGUUAAAAGUACGUGAAACCGCUAACGGGGAAGCGGAAGGCAGUGUCGAGAUUGAGUGAGUGAGUUGUCUCAAGUUAAUCUAAGAGUGGUAGAUUAAUUUGGGGCGACUAGCUUUGCUUGAUGCGUCAGGACUAUCGGUGUGCGAUGGCUCAAUCGCAGGCAUGGCUUCCACGACACCAUGCACCUCACUUGUGGAGUGUGUGGCUCGUGGUUGCGGCAGGCGAUCCACCUCGUGUGCUGAUAUUGGAUGUGGUGAGGCGUUGGUGACGUAUGUCGGUUGGUGCUGUGUGGUGCUCCGCGUAGUCACAGUGUGGCUACGUAAACGUAAGUGGUGGGAGAAACCGGGCGGCAGCUCAACAACCAGUGCCAGCUCCUGACGUGAUACCUAACCU